This 3106-nucleotide ribosomal RNA is filed under the name Salmonella enterica subsp. enterica serovar Weltevreden. RNAcentral's name for it is "23S ribosomal RNA". It matches the Rfam family "Bacterial large subunit ribosomal RNA". Lineage: Bacteria; Pseudomonadati; Pseudomonadota; Gammaproteobacteria; Enterobacterales; Enterobacteriaceae. The record is from RNAcentral.
GGUUAAGCAACUAGCGUACACGGUGAAUGCCACGGCAGUCAGAAGGCGAUGAAAGGCGUGCUUUAAUCUGCGAUAAAGCGCCCGGUAGUGAUAUGAACCGUUAUAACCGGCGAUACCCGGAAUGAAGCAGUGUGACUCGUCACACUAUCAUUAACUGAAUCAUAACAGGUUAAUGAGGCGAACCGGGGAACUUAAACAUCCUAAGUACCCGAGGGAAAGAAAUCGCCGAAUUCCCCGGUAGCGGCGAGCGAGCGGGGAGGAGCCCCAGAGCCUGAAUCAGCAUAUUGUUAGUGGAAGCGUCUGGAAAGGCGCGCGGCCUGAUGACAGCCCCGUACGCAAAAGCGCAUGUGCUGUGAGCUCGAUGGUAGGAACACGUGGUAUCCUGGCCACAGAUAUGGUGCUCCUCCAAGGCUAAAUACUCCUGACUUGACCGAUGGUGAACCAGUACCGUGAGGAAAGGCGAAAGAACGGCGAGGGUGAAAGAACCUGAAACCGUGUACGUACGCAAGCGGUGGGAGCCCACCGCAAAGCGUUUCGCUUUGUGGCGGUGCACAAAAGCAUAACGACAGCUGAAUGACGGUUAACGGAGCGCAAAGCGACGUUCAACAUACAAGAAUCAAGCAGUGGGGCGCUUUGAGGUGGGGUGACUGCGGCCCGCGCGUAUAAUGGGUCGAGCACUAUUCUGUAACAAGGUUAACCGAAUACCAGAGGCCGGAGGGAAACCAGUCUUAACGGGCGUUAAGUUGCAGGGUAUAUAGACCCGAAACCCGGUGAUCUAGCCAUGGGCAGGUUGAAGGUUGGGUAACACUAACUGGAAGGGACCGAACCGACUAAUGUUGAAAAAUUAGCGGAUGACCUGUGGCGCAGGGGUGAAGAAGGCCAAUCAAACCGGGAGAUAGCUGGUUCUCCCCCAGCGAAAGCGCUAUUAGAGUAGCGCCUCGAUGAAUUCAUCUCCGGGGAUGCAGAGCACUGUUUCCGGCUAGGGGGGCCAUCCCGGCUUACCAACCCGAUGCAAACUUCACGAAUACCGGAGAAUGCACGGGAGUUUACGAAGGUGCUAACGUCCGUCGUGAAGAGGGAAAACAACAGACCGCCAGCUAAGGUCCCCAGAACCAUGGUUAAGUGGGAAGCUUGAUGUGGGAAGGCCCGAACAGCCGAGGAUGUUGGCCAAAGCAGCCAUCAUUUAAAAGCGUAAUAGCUCACUGGUCGAGUCGGCCUGCGCGGAAGAUGUAACGGGGGCUAAACCAUGCCGCCCGAAGCGCUGCGGCAGCGAACAUCUGCAAGACAACUUUACGGAGUUGACGAUUGACGGAGCGAAGCGACGUCAAAGCGUUCGUAAAGUCGAGUUGGCUUAGGGAUACGUUCGUUGGAGUAGAAGGCGUUCUGUAAGCCCUGCGAAGGUGGCCUGUGAGGGGGUUGCUGGAGGUAUCAGAAGUGCGAAUGCUGACAUAGUAACGAUAAAGCGGGUGAAAGCCGCUCGCCGGAAAGAACCAAGGGUUCCUGUCAACGUUAAUCCGGAACGGGGUGGGGAGUCGACUAAGGCGAGGCCGAAAGGCGUAGUCGAUGGGAAACGGGUUAAUAUUCCGUACUUGGUAUUGCACUGCGAAGGGGGACGGAAGAGAGGCUAUGAUGGCCGGGCGACGGUUGUCCCGGUUUAAGCGUGUAGGUGUGUGUUCGGGUAAAUCCGGUUCACUUUAACACUGAGGAAGGCGAUGACGAGGCACUACGGUGCUGAAGCAACAAAUGCCCUGCUUCGAGAGAAAACCUCUAAGCAUCAGGUAACAUCAAAUCGUACCCCAAACCGACACAGGUGGUCAGGUAGAAUACCAAGCGAGAACUCGGGUGAAGGAACUGGGCAAAAUGGUGCCGCUUCGGGAGAGCACGCUGACUUGCGGCAGGUGAAGUGAUUUACUCAUGGGCUGAAGUCAGUCGAAGAUUACCAGCUGGCUGCAACUGUUUAUUAAAACACAGCACUGUGCAAACACGAAAGUGGACGCGUAUACGGUGUGACGCCUGCCCGGUGCCGGAAGGUUAGUGAUGCCAGGGGUCGCUGCAAAGCAAAACUCUGAUCGAAGCGGUAAACGGCGGCCGUAACUAUAACGGUCUAAGGUAGCGAAAUUCCUUGUCGGGUAAGUUCCGACCUGCACGAAUAGCCAAUGAUGGCGAGCUGUCUCCACCGAGACUCAGUGGUGAACUCGCUGUGAAGAUGCAGUAUUGCCCGCGGCAGGAACGGAAAAGACCCCGUGAACCUUUACUAUAACUUGACACUGGUUUAUUGAGCCUUGAUGUGUAGGAUAGGUGGGGAGGCUUUUGAAGUGUGGACGCCAGUCUGCAUGGAGCCGACAGAAAUACCACCCUUUAAUGUUUGAUGUUCUAACGUGGACCCGUUGCGGGUUGCGGACAGUGUCUGGUGGUAUUGGAUUUGACUGGGGCGGUCUCCUCCUAAAGGAAGUAACGGAGGAGCACGAAGGGUUGGCUAAUCUGGUCGGACUCAGGAGGUUAGUGCAAUGGCAUAAGCCGCCAGCUUGACUGCGAGCGUGACGGCGCGAGCAGGCAAAACGGGUCAUAGUGAUCCGGUGGAUGCGAAUGGAAGGACCAUCGCUCAGCAGUAAAAGGUACUCCUUCCGGGGAUAACAGGCUGAUACCGCCCAGAGUUCCUUAUCGGCGGCGGUGUUUGGCACCUCGAUGUCGGCUCAUCACAUCACAGGGCUGAAAGUAGGUCCCAAAGGGUAUGGCUGUUCGCCAUUUGUUAAAAGUGGUACGCGAGCUGGGUUUUAGAACGUCGUGAGGAACGGUUCGGUCCUAUCUGCCGUGAGCGCUGGAGGGAACUGAGGGGCUGCUCCUGGUACGAGGAAGGACUGGGUGGACGCAUCACUGGUGUUCGGGUUGUCAUGCCAAUGGCACUGCCCGGUAGCUAAAUGCGGAAGAGAUAGGGUGCGCAGAAAGCAUCUAAGCACGAAACUUGCCCCGAGAUGAGUUCUCCUGAGACUUAGAGUCAUACCCUGAAGGAACGUUAGCGAAGACGACGACGUUGAUAGGCCGGGUGUGUAAGCGCAGCGAUGCGUUGAAACACAACCGGUACUAAUGAACCGUGAGGCUUAACGCU